Long non-coding RNA from Daphnia pulicaria, 562 nucleotides. RefSeq lists it as uncharacterized. The transcript has 3 exons. Lineage: Eukaryota; Metazoa; Arthropoda; Branchiopoda; Diplostraca; Daphniidae. The record is from RefSeq and is a predicted model, not a curated record.
GGUUGAUACUGCCUGGGGAAUCUUGGUGAUCUGUAAAACAAGUGAAUGACCAACGAAUGAAACUCCAAGGAACUUGGAGAUCCGACUUUUUGUUGCUGCAGUCAAACAAAAAACAGAGAAUGACCUUCUUUAAAGUGCCUGUUCAAAAUUUAAUAAAACGCUGAGGACAACUCUGCAGCCGCAUCUCGAUAAGACUAAGGAAAGUUCAGCUGAUGUUUUCAAAAACUAAUAUCUCUCAAGGGAGGCUCUACUCGCGAAAUUGACGGACCUACAGAAACAAAACCAGACGUUGGAAUUGGCACUGAAACGACAAGAAGAGUCUGAAAUGGUUAUGGAGGUGGUGUUAUAAAAGUGGAAAUGUUUCAACCGAUCGAUAACGAUGAAGAAGUCCCGGAGGAAAGGCACCCUGGAAAUAAGAAGAUGAAAAUGUUGAUUUUGCCGCUUAUUCCAUUUUUGUUAUUAUAUUUUUCUGAAAACUAAGUGUACACAAGAAAAUUGUAAACUGUAAAAUAAAUCGUGUUCAAAAUACUAUUUACAAUUUAAUACAGUGAACUUCAUUGGA